Molecule: ribosomal RNA, 457 nt
Filed under: uncultured bacterium
Lineage: Bacteria
Description: bacterial SSU rRNA
Rfam family: Bacterial small subunit ribosomal RNA
Source: RNAcentral
GAUGAACGCUGGCGGCGUGCUUAACACAUGCAAGUCGAACGAGGCACUUCAUAAAGUUUACUUUAAGAAGUGACUUGGUGGCGGACGGGUGAGUAACGCGUGGGUAACCUGCCUUACACAGGGGGAUAACAGUUAGAAAUGACUGCUAAUACCGCAUAAAACAGCAGAGUCGCAUGACUCAACUGUCAAAGAUUUAUCGGUGUAAGAUGGACCCGCAUCUGAUUAGCUAGUUGGUGGGGUAACGGCCUACCAAGGCGACGAUCAGUAGCCGGCCUGAGAGGGUGAACGGCCACAUUGGGACUGAGACACGGCCCAAACUCCUACGGGAGGCAGCAGUGGGGAAUAUUGGACAAUGGGCGAAAGCCUGAUCCAGCGACGCCGCGUGAGCGAUGAAGUAUUUCGGUAUGUAAAGCUCUAUCAGCAGGGAAGAAAACGACGGUACCUGACUAAGAAGCCC